AAGGAGCACCUGCGUCUGUACCGGUUGGUGGAGAUGCUGGGUCCAGGGCUGGCCCGUCGAGGACGUGUGUUCCUCGGGGUUGGAGCUCAUAGAACCGUGGAGCACUGGCUAUUCAACUCGCCCAGGCCGCCGGCCUGGUCAGUACUACCCCGGCUCCUUCCUUGUGGGAGGGUGGUUGGGGUGUGGAACCUCCGGAUUGUGGGGGUUGGGUGGGUUGGGCACACUGUUGGGUCCUGAGGAAACGGACCCGACCCCUCUACCGAGUCCGCCUGUUGGCGGCCUGGUAGGGGGUUCUCGGCCUGGUUGGGCCGGGGUUGGUUUCUUCUGGUCUGCGGGGCCAUGUGCCUGGCGCUCCGGAGGUUUCCCAGUGUUGGUGUUGGUGGAUCCGGUUGUUUUUUUGUUAAACUGCAUAGUGAACGCAAGCAUCCUUUGAUUCGCUUGUUUGUGGUCAUUUUGU
Molecule: unclassified non-coding RNA, 457 nt
Filed under: Thermomonospora echinospora
Lineage: Bacteria; Bacillati; Actinomycetota; Actinomycetes; Streptosporangiales; Thermomonosporaceae
Description: Actinomadura echinospora partial 16S-23S ribosomal RNA intergenic spacer region
Source: RNAcentral